AUGGCAUAUUUGAAGAAUGAUUGCCAUACUAAUGAACUAAUAUUGUAUUUUAUUGAAAUUAAAACUUAUUUUGCGUUGUUAAACUUGAUUUUGGUUAUUAAAUUUUAAGAGGUAUAUAUUAGUUUUGUUUUAUAAAAUCGAGCCAAACCAAUCUGAGCCGAGCUAGCUCGGUUUAAAACCAAGCCGAGCCCGAGCUUAGAUUUUCAGCUCGGUUUCAAAUCCGAGCCGAGCCGAGCCAGCUCGGUUUAUAAUCGAGCCGAGCCCGAGCUUGGCCUGGCUCGGCUCAUGAACACCCCUAAAAAUCAUAUACAAAACAUGUGUGUCAUCAUAGUUAUAUACUUAUGUGUGUUAGGAUAUUAAGCAAUAAAAAAAAUCUAACGAAAGGGACCCUGAUUUUAGAAUCUGAUUUGGGCCUUAAAAAGAAGGUUGAGCCAGCCAGCCUUGACUCAGUUCAGUUUUGAACUCCCACCGAACCAAAACCAAAAACUUCAGUUAUUCGGUUUUUGAAGUGGUUUUGGUUGGGUUAUGGAUCGGUUAACCAACGCAUGUAUUAAGACCAAUAAGACUAGAAGGUAUGGUUUGGCUCAUCCCCAUGGGGAUGAGCCUCCACGUAGGCGCCACAUAUGCGGCUAGCAUGGGAUGAGCCAAAUUAAAGAUGGAGGGGGAUGGAGGAUGGGGCCCCACCAAAUAUUUUUUAUUGUUUAAUUCAUUUUAAUUGUUUUACUUUUAUUUAUUUAACUUUUUUUUAUAAAAAGUAUUCAAAAUUUAAAUAAAAAUACUACUAAAAGGAAGAUAAUAAAAUUCAUUAC
This 809-nucleotide long non-coding RNA is filed under the name Helianthus annuus (common sunflower). Its description in RNAcentral is "hypothetical non coding rna". The record is from RNAcentral. Lineage: Eukaryota; Viridiplantae; Streptophyta; Magnoliopsida; Asterales; Asteraceae.